AGCAGUAGCCGCGGUAAUACGGAGGGGGCUAGCGUUGUUCGGAAUUACUGGGCGUAAAGCGCACGUAGGCUGCUUUGUAAGUUAGAGGUGAAAGCCUGGUGCUCAACACCAGAACUGCCUUUAAGACUGCAGAGCUAGAACGUCGGAGAGGUGAGUGGAAUUCCGAGUGUAGAGGUGAAAUUCGUAGAUAUUCGGAAGAACACCAGUGGCGAAGGCGGCUCACUGGACGACUGUUGACGCUGAGGUGCGAAAGCGUGGGGAGCAAACAGGAUUAGAUACCCCCGUAGUCCCUGUCUCUUAUAC
This 303-nucleotide ribosomal RNA is filed under the name uncultured bacterium. RNAcentral describes it as "partial 16S ribosomal RNA". It matches the Rfam family "Bacterial small subunit ribosomal RNA", at positions 507 to 807 of the family's 1533-position model. The record is from RNAcentral.